Molecule: transfer RNA, 71 nt
Filed under: Loxodonta africana (African savanna elephant)
Lineage: Eukaryota; Metazoa; Chordata; Mammalia; Proboscidea; Elephantidae
Rfam family: tRNA
About the family: Transfer RNA (tRNA) molecules are approximately 80 nucleotides in length. Their secondary structure includes four short double-helical elements and three loops (D, anti-codon, and T loops).
Source: Rfam by way of RNAcentral
ACACUGGUGGUUCAGUGGUAGAAUCCUCACUUUCCAUGUGGGAGACCCAGUUUCAAUUCCUGGCCACUGCA